UUGUAGCUCAGCUGGAUAGAGCAACGGCCUUCUAAGCCGUGGGUCGGGGGUUCGAAUCCCUUCA
This 64-nucleotide transfer RNA is filed under the name Blautia hydrogenotrophica. It matches the Rfam family "tRNA", at positions 6 to 65 of the family's 71-position model. Rfam says of the family: Transfer RNA (tRNA) molecules are approximately 80 nucleotides in length. Their secondary structure includes four short double-helical elements and three loops (D, anti-codon, and T loops). Lineage: Bacteria; Bacillati; Bacillota; Clostridia; Lachnospirales; Lachnospiraceae. The record is from RNAcentral. RNAcentral also lists the same sequence under 5 other names.